UUGAGCCGUAUGCGGGGAAACUUGCACGUACGGUUCUUAGGGGGGAGGGUUCCAGUGAUGGGGCCUUCCUACCCUCC
This 77-nucleotide non-coding RNA is filed under the name Duganella sp. CF517. Lineage: Bacteria; Pseudomonadati; Pseudomonadota; Betaproteobacteria; Burkholderiales; Oxalobacteraceae. The record is from RNAcentral.